UAACGCUCUGACGGAGCUCGAAAAUCAAAAAAUUCUGGUCUACUCUACAAAAAAUAAUAGUGGCCACCUGUAC
Plasmodium vivax (malaria parasite P. vivax) is the source of this 73-nucleotide non-coding RNA. The record is from the annotation of a RefSeq genome assembly. NCBI's taxonomy places the organism in Eukaryota, Apicomplexa, Aconoidasida, Haemosporida, Plasmodiidae.